CUGCUUGCUAAAUAAUUGACUAAAAUGAUACCUCUUUUUUAUAGUUGUGACAUCUGCUUAAAAAAACCCCGGUGUACAUGAGUAAUAUAGAACACUUUUGUGCAAAAUUCCCUAGAAUCAGCUAGUAGUGGCAUCUGAAAUUUCUCCUCUUCAACAGGGAAGUCCCCGCUGUACAAGGUUAGCUACUUAUUACAUAUAUCAAAGUCAAUCAAGUUUCCUGUCUAUCAAUUACAUGUAAAAUACGUGUAAAUUUUCCUCAAAAAUACCAAAUGUUUCGAGUCCUUUACAAAGUCCUUUUUUCUUGUAUCUACUCAACCUCUAACUAUUUCUUACAGGUAACUUUAACAUGAGUAAGUUUUCUUUGGAAACACUGCUGGGAAGUUUUACAGAGUAGACAUGAGCACGUCAGCACAGAUAAGUGGUCAUGUGAAAAAAAGCAGUACCAACACAGAGGAGAAAGAGCAUGAGACAGAAUUAUUCUUUUCUGUGAGAACUGGCUGUAGCACCCUACUUAAUACUCUGACCAGUUAUUUGAGGCAGCACUGCUAAUGUUAUUUCCUUGUGGUGUUAUAAUGAAUUACCUAAAGACUCUAAGCCAUCAGGACUUCUGGAACAACAGAACAACGGGAUCUGCCUCUACCCUACGCUGAAAAGCUUCAGCUGAGGUGAUGAUGUGGCAAAGCCAGAGAGCCAUUAGCAAAGUACACCAAAAUCCAGGUGUUGGUUCUCCACAGUACUGUUUCUGCCACUGUCCUAUUGUGAAGCAUUUUUUCUAAACAUCUCUCCUGGGGAGAAACAUGGCCUUGCAGUGGGAUGCCAGGGGGAAUCCCAUAGCCAAAAAAAAACCCAAAAAAGACACUUAGCCAGAUGUUGACACAUUUCUGCUGUGGAUGCUAAUUUGCGUUGAAGUUGGACCUUGGAACUGACAGAUCACACAGUCAAAAUCUUCUUGGGCAACUAUACGAGUACUUUCUAGUCUGUAGAAUGGAGGAACAAGCUGCAAAAUUCAGGAAAUAUUUAUGAAUUUAGCAACUAAUUGAAGAUGGAACUUACAAGAAACAAAGUAUUUUAGAAGGAGUAACUGUGGAGACUGAGAAAUGCUUACAGGUCCUGCACUCUAAAUUACCAGAUAGUAGAGAUUUUCCUCAAAAAAAAAAAAUGGAACUGUAAAGUCAUCUUAUCAAAACCCAAUGCAGUGCAUUCACUGCCUGGCACUGUCACAAGGAUAAAGCAGAGGUAGCACACAGGGCAACUUUCCCCACCUAAGAAAGGGUGGGAACAGUAAGGUAAGGACAAGCAAACAAAAUCUGUGGGGCAGCAAUGGCUCUAGUUUGGCCAUAGCUGACUCUCCAAGGUAGGUGAGGGGGUCUGACACACCCUUAGGAAACAACCCUGUGUCUUGUUGCUGCACAUUCUUGUUGGUUUGGAAGCUCUGCAUCCACACUGCAUUAAGGUAACACCUCUGCAGCUGUUUUGAGA
Molecule: long non-coding RNA, 1479 nt
Organism: Manacus vitellinus (golden-collared manakin)
Lineage: Eukaryota; Metazoa; Chordata; Aves; Passeriformes; Pipridae
Exons: 3
Source: RefSeq, a predicted model, not a curated record